AACCAAGUGUUGCAGCUGCGGCACACAAUUUUGCACCUUUUCUACUGGGAAAUGACUUUUUUGAUGUGUCAGAACCUGUCCCAGGGUUUGUUAGCAGCAAGAAGAAAUCUUGUGCUGAAAGCCCCAG
Chelonoidis abingdonii (Abingdon island giant tortoise) is the source of this 127-nucleotide non-coding RNA. Lineage: Eukaryota; Metazoa; Chordata; Testudines; Testudinidae. The record is from RefSeq and is a predicted model, not a curated record.